CGGAGUUGCUAGGGCUGAGAGCAAAGGUGUCGCCAUUGGCUGGAGGCCCUAGAAGGACUAGAUGUUCCCUCUUCGAAGUGCGUGGGAGUCAAGGCUUGGAAAUGGCGCAGUGAGGUCUGGAGGCUGGGAAAUCCAAAAUCAGGAUGUCAGCAGAUGUGGUGUGUUUGGCAAGAGCGCACUUCCUGUUUUAUAGAUGGCUGUCUUCUAGCUGUGCCCUCACAGGUGCUCUCUCAUGGAAUCCAAGAAGAACUAAACUACCAAACGGGUCUCUGGAAAGGCAGAAGACAGGGAAGCUCUGGGGACCCUGACAACAGCUGCUCACAAAUCUUCCCUUUGGAAUUCUGCCAUUAACAGGACUCAGAGCCAAACGUCUCUGAUCUCUGUGUAUCUCAGUUCAAAAUUCAAAUUCUCGGGCAGGAGGAUCUGAUUGGCUGUGCUGUGAUCAGCAGGCUGCUGCUGCUCCAAUCAAGGAUGGCCAGGAGACAGGGUUGCUUUCUCCGUAUGUGCACCUCUAAUGCAGAGCCACCAGCCGUGUGUGGCUACGGAACACUUGCAAGGUGGCUGGGACACUGAGGAAAUGAAUUUUUUCAUUUUACUUGUUAUUCUUUUAAA
Molecule: long non-coding RNA, 612 nt
Organism: Ailuropoda melanoleuca (giant panda)
Lineage: Eukaryota; Metazoa; Chordata; Mammalia; Carnivora; Ursidae
Exons: 3
Source: RefSeq, a predicted model, not a curated record